RNAcentral lists this ribosomal RNA (460 nucleotides) under uncultured bacterium. Its description in RNAcentral is "partial 16S ribosomal RNA". It matches the Rfam family "Bacterial small subunit ribosomal RNA", at positions 338 to 795 of the family's 1533-position model. The record is from RNAcentral.
CCUACGGGAGGCAGCAGUGAGGAAUAUUGGUCAAUGGACGCAAGUCUGAACCAGCCAUGUCGCGUGCAGGAAGACGGCUCUAUGAGUUGUAAACUGCUUUUGUACGAGGAUAAACGCAGAUACGCGUAUCUGUCUGAAAGUAUCUUACGAAUAAGGAUCGGCUAACUCCGUGCCAGCAGCCGCGGUAAUACGGAGGAUUCAAGCGUUAUCCGGAUUUAUUGGGUUUAAAGGGUGCGUAGGCGGUCGGAUAAGUUAGAGGUGAAAGCCCGAGGCUCAACUUCGGAAUUGCCUCUGAUACUGUUCGGCUAGAGAGUAGUGGCGGUAGGCGGAAUGUAUGGUGUAGCGGUGAAAUGCUUAGAGAUCAUACAGAACACCGAUUGCGAAGGCAGCUUACCAAGCUACUUCUGACGUUGAGGCACGAAAGCGUGGGGAGCAAACAGGAUUAGAUACCCCGGUAGUC